AUUAUGCCUGUCAUAAAACUGUCUAAAUAAAUAAGCAUUGAAUCGCAUUAAUCUCAAGUCCACGUGUCCGUUAGUGACGUAGGCACGGUACGAGAUAUCGAAAUUUCUGAAUUGGCUGUCAUUCAACAAUGACAAAAUCAAGAUACGUUUAAGAGAAGAAAACAAUUCGAAUAUGAAUUCGUACACGGUUGAUAAUAGAAUCACCUAUUUAAGCUUUACAAUUUGUGUAAUACUCUUCGUUUUCGGAACGUGGCCCGUGGUGUCAUAUGCCGAAGAGAUCUCUAACCUCAAACAUGAAAAUGUCACGUUGGACAAUAAAAAUGUAUCAAAAGAUGUGACACCAACGAAUUCGAGCAUAGAUACGUCCACAGAUUCCGUAAGCAACGAUUUAAAGAUCAACGCUUCGAGUACAGUGAACGCAUUACAAAACAGUUCCAUCAGUACUGUGACAGUUCAAUCUAAUCAUGAUACUAAUAAUCAAACAAUUGAAACAUUUACCACGUCGCCUGCGAUCACUGUCAAUGACAAGAGUGGCAACAUGUCCGAUUUUACUGUCACAUCGCAAAGCUCGGAUAUCAGUAAUGCGACAACGAACACGAGUACGACGACGAGUGUACCUGCGGAACCAGUAUUACCCGACAAAGGGUCUGCAGAGGAGGAACACAACAGUUCCAUGUCCAUAUUUUUCGUCCUCUGCGUCCUAGCUUUAGGCAUUUUACUUAUACACCUGAUGCUGCAAACGAAUUUUCAGUACCUGCCGGAGUCCGUAGUUAUCGUAUUCUUAGGAGGACUGAUUGGUAUGAUUAUAAAUCUGAUGUCGAAUCAGAACAUAGCCAACUGGAGAAAGGAAGAAGCCUUCUCUCCGACUGCUUUCUUCCUCGUACUUCUUCCGCCUAUUAUAUUCGAAUCUGGAUACAAUUUGCACAAAGGAAACUUUUUUCAAAACAUUGGUAGUAUCUUAGUCUUCGCCAUAUUCGGCACAGCGAUAUCUGCGUUCGUCAUCGGAGCUGGAAUUUAUCUAUUAGGACUGGCUCAAGUAGCAUACAAGCUUAGCUUUGUUGAAAGUUUCGCAUUCGGAUCGUUGAUAUCAGCUGUAGACCCUGUUGCUACUGUAGCUAUAUUUCAUGCGUUAGAUGUAGACCCAGUAUUGAACAUGUUAGUUUUCGGAGAAUCUAUUUUAAACGAUGCCAUUUCUAUUGUAUUAACCACUUCUGUGUUGGAGUCGAAUAACGCCACGACUACCAGCGAGGCAAUUAUACUAGGCUUGAACAGAUUUUGUCUCAUGUUCUUUGCCUCCGCGGGUAUCGGAGUCGUCUUUGCACUGAUAAGCGCAUUACUACUUAAGCACGUCGACCUUAGAAAGAAUCCUUCUCUCGAAUUUGGACUGAUGUUGGUAUUCACCUAUGCACCGUACGUUCUCGCAGAAGGCAUACAGUUAUCUGGUAUUAUGGCAAUUUUAUUCAACGGAAUCGUGAUGUCGCAUUAUACACAUUUCAAUUUGUCGACUGUUACACAAAUUACAAUGCAACAAACUAUGAGGACUUUGGCGUUUAUCGCUGAAACUUGUGUAUUCGCCUACUUGGGAUUAGCUUUGUUCAGCUUCAGACACAGGUUUGAACCGGCGUUAGUGAUAUGGUCCAUAAUCCUCUGUCUGAUCGGUAGAGCAGCAAACAUCUUUCCUUUAGCGUUUCUCGUGAAUCGAUUUCGAGAACAUCAAAUCACGAGGAAAAUGAUGUUCAUAAUGUGGUUCAGCGGCCUACGCGGCGCGAUUUCUUACGCCUUGUCUUUGCACUUGGAUUUCAGCGAUGAAACGCGACAUGUGAUCAUCACUACUACAUUAAUUAUAGUGCUGUUCACAACUUUAGCGUUCGGUGGCUCUACCAUGCCUUUGUUAAAGUUUUUGCGAGCAGAAAAGAAACAGAAGAAUAAUAACAGUAGGAGGAAGAGAAAGGAUAAAGAGAUAUCCUUGAGUAAAACCAGAGAAUGGGGGCAAACGAUAGAUUCUGAACAUUUGUCAGAACUCACGGAGGAAGAGAUCGAGGUGUCCUUCCUCCAAUCUAGAAUUCGUGGCUUCGCGAGAUGGGAUUUGAAGUUCUUCAUUCCAUUUUUCACGAGGAGGUUCACGCAGCAGGAACUGAAGGAUUGUAAAUCUCAAAUGACGGACCUAACGAAUCAGUGGUAUCAAGCUAUACGAAUCAGUCCAAUCGAAUCGGACGACGAAGUAACGACAGCGUCGACGGCUCAGUUGAAUAUUAAUUUGUCGACGGAAGCUCCCAGUCGGAUACACGGGAAAAAGAGCAAGAGACGUCCAAGUCACGGGUCUAUAUUAAGUAUAUAAUUAUUUUUGUGUGCCGUGCUAAAUGUGCUAUCGAUACUCAGCUUCAGUUGUGAAUAGGUAAUAACUUUUUCUUGACGGCGAUUUCGUCAUCAUAAUCGAAGGAAAACACUUUCUGUGAUUACGUAGUUUUAAUCUCUUUCUAUAAGAUGUUCGUCGCGCGUAUCUACGAUUCAAGUUCAAUGUUUCUAAUUUAUUUUGCCUGAUUGCUGACAUUUUCCCAAUGACAAUAAGGUAUAAUUAAAUUAUUAGCUUUAGCAGAUGGUUUGUGGUUCUCUCAUAGCUGCAAAAGUCGUCUGAUGAAAAUUGUGUGGCAUCUAAACAUUUGCUUUGCUGUCAAAGCUUAUAUCGUUGAGACGACGAGGAUUGGUCUGGUUAAUGAUCAAGUUUAUAGAUGUAAAUUUGCGGGUUGUUUCAUCGAUUGAUAUAGAAAAUAUGUGCAGACGUUGUAUUAUAGAGAAUGAUAUUUUAAUAUCGAACUUGGACAAGUAACAGGUUCCUAAUUUUAUUUAGUUAUCAGAAAAAGUAUUAUUUACCUAACUUAAUGAAAAGAUGUAUGUGAUAUUUUCAAACGAAUAUUUGAAUAAUUGCACAAAAAGAAUUAUACAUAAGUGAUCACGUUGCAUAUCGAAAAGAUACUUGUAUACGGCCCUAACACACUGUACUUACUAUGUUAUUAUAAAUCAUAUGCAAUGACUUCUCUAGAUAAGUUUGAUAAUUUCAAUAUUUAUCGGAGUUUCUCAUCUGUGUACAUACACUAUGGAAAUGUAAGAAUGUAAUAGGAUAUUUACAAACCAAUUUUAUUAAUUGAUAUUCUUCGAUUUGCACUGAGUCAAGUAAGUAUCCUAUCAUGUUGUCCGAGUAUUAUUGUAAAAAGAAAUAUCCUUAUCAUGUACAGUAAAAUUCUGUUUUAAAAUGUAGAAGACAUCUCUUCUCAUCUGAAUAUAUUUUAUUGAUAUAAUAAAUCUCUUGCUACUCAAUCGAAA
Ceratina calcarata is the source of this 3321-nucleotide RNA transcript. It is a transcript of the gene named Na[+]/H[+] hydrogen exchanger 1, with no coding region annotated. The record is from RefSeq and is a predicted model, not a curated record. NCBI's taxonomy places the organism in Eukaryota, Metazoa, Arthropoda, Insecta, Hymenoptera, Apidae. The transcript is spliced from 5 exons.